GACGAACGCUGGCGGCGUGCUUAACACAUGCAAGUCGAACGGAGAUUCAGCAAUGGAUCUUAGUGGCGAACGGGUGAGUAACGCGUAGGCAAUCUGCCUUCUAGAUGGGGACAACAUCCCGAAAGGGGUGCUAAUACCGAAUGUUGUACCGUUUCCGCAUGGAGAUGAUACUAAAGGUGGCCUCUGAAUAUGCUACCGCUAGAAGAUGAGCCUGCGUCUGAUUAGCUAGUUGGAGGGGUAACGGCCCACCAAGGCAACGAUCAGUAGCCGGUCUGAGAGGAUGAACGGCUACACUGGGACUGAGACACGGCCCAGACUCCUACGGGAGGCAGCAGUGGGGAAUCUUCCGCAAUGGACGAAAGUCUGACGGAGCAACGCCGCGUGAGUGAAGAAGGUUUUCGGAUCGUAAAGCUCUUUCGUUAGGGACGAACGUGCUCUUUGUGAAUAAUGAGGAGUAAUGACGGUACCUAAAUAAGAAGCCACGGCUAACUACGUGCCAGCCGCCGCCGUAA
Molecule: ribosomal RNA, 512 nt
Filed under: uncultured bacterium
Lineage: Bacteria
Description: partial 16S ribosomal RNA
Rfam family: Bacterial small subunit ribosomal RNA
Source: RNAcentral